Molecule: ribosomal RNA, 635 nt
Filed under: cf. Cactodera sp. Niobrara G2T2
Lineage: Eukaryota; Metazoa; Nematoda; Chromadorea; Rhabditida; Heteroderidae
Description: SSU rRNA
Rfam family: Eukaryotic small subunit ribosomal RNA
Source: RNAcentral
GGCGAUCAGAUACCGCCCUAGUUCUGACCGUAAACGAUGCCAACUAGCGAUCCGCCGGCGGAUUUAUUCGCCCUGGUGGGGAGCUUCCCGGAAACGAAAGUCUUCCGGUUCCGGGGGAAGUAUGGUUGCAAAGCUGAAACUUAAAGGAAUUGACGGAAGGGCACCACCAGGAGUGGAGCCUGCGGCUUAAUUUGACUCAACACGGGGAAACUCACCCGGCCCGGACACCGUAAGGAUUGACAGAUUGAUAGCUUUUUCAUGAUUCGGUGGAUGGUGGUGCAUGGCCGUUCUUAGUUCGUGGAGCGAUUUGUCUGGUUUAUUCCGAUAACGAGCGAGACUCUGGCCUACUAAAUAGUUGGCUCAUUGCCUCUGUGGGCACAACUUCUUAGAGGGAUUUUCGGUGUUCAGCCGCACGAAAUUGAGCAAUAACAGGUCUGUGAUGCCCUUAGAUGUCCGGGGCUGCACGCGCGCUACACUGGCAAAAUCAGCGUGCUUGUCCUUCCCCGAAAGGGGUUGGUAAACCCGUGAAAAUUUGCCGUGAUUGGGAUCGGACAUUGCAAUUAUUGUCCGUGAACGAGGAAUUCCUUGUAGGGGCGAGUCAUCAACUCGCUCUGAUUACGUCCCUGCCCUUUGUA